CCCAAAAACUGAUUCUUUGCCCUGACUUUUGUUCUUUGUUUUAGGUGAAGGAGAUUGGAGAGGAUUAUGAUUUUAUCAGUUUCCACAGGUCCAGGGCUCCAGCCAUUUGAUGCACGGAGGAAGGAGGAUUGGUCCAUCAGUAGCAGAGACAGAGACUUGUCCAUCAGGAAUCGAUCUCUUACCCAUAGCAAAGGAGAACUACGAGAAAACACUUCUUUUAGAGAAGCAGAGGUGGGAGGUCUACAGAAAAAAUAUUUUGAUUAUUGGAGGGGGAAAAUAAUGUCCAAACACUAAUGUUUAUCACUGGACAUUUCCUUCAGUUGAAAACAAAUGCACAAAGAAGAUAAAUACCUACGAAGGUAAUAUUGCAGCAUUACCCAAGUCAUGUCAAACAGUCAUUGAAGUGAGGUUUGGAUGGGCAUCCUUCCUCAAGACUCCAGGAGUUGUGUUUCCUCCCAGCUGGAGAAGAGGAGAAGCUAUCUCAUGGUCAGAACUAAAGGGUAGCGCUUUUCUGAUGAGGCAGUUUUAGAUUGCAUGAAAGAGAGAUGUAGAGUUGCAGAUAAUCAGGAGAGAAGAUAAGCAGUAGUUGUAGCAGUAGCAUCAAUCAACAGCAACAGAAGGAGGAUGCCUUCUGGGAGACUGACUCUAAGACUUAUUGCUGGAGCCUCUACCUUUUCCUGGUUUGUUGAUCAGAUUUCCUAGGAAAGAGUGUCUGAACUACACAUGGAGAAACUUCUGGAACAAUUGUAGACUUAUUCCACUUUGUUUCUUCCUUCACUUUUAUCGUAAUAGCAUGAUUUAUUACUAAGUUUUUCUCUGUUCCACUUAGCAUUUUGUUGACUAGUUAUUUGUAUUUUUAACAAUGGAUUUCUAGAUGAAGAUAAAAUCAUUUUAAUUGUGUUCUGAAUUGAUGUUUUGUUAGAGAAAGCAUGAUAAAGGGUGGGAAGAAGCCUGGGGAUAAUUGACUAUACCAAAUUUAACUGGUUAGAAUAUUUCAUUUCUAGCCUGGGGAUUGCCUGGGGGCCUAGAGCUUCAUGAAGUUUAUAAUAAUAUGUAUUUUAAGCUUUUUAACUGUAGGGAAGAAAAAGUGAGUGGAACUAGCUCUCUUGCCCUAGACAAAAAAUCCUCCCUUUAUCUCCUAGCAAACAGAUCCAUGGGUGACUUUGAAAAAGGGGCCUUCAGAUUUUCUCCAAUUCCUCAUAGAAGAAGGGGAAGGGAAAGUAGAGGCAGGGUCCUCAAGUGAAGGUCACAUAACUCCCUAUACAUGUCCUUGCUUUAUUUAAUUCAGUUCAUACUAGUGAAAGCUAUUUCUUAUUAAAAAAAGACAAUUAGAGAGGAUGAAAAGAAUUCUUUGGCCAUUCUAAUAAUAAGAAGAACCUUAUCACCAAACUUUUGUCUUUAAAAUUGAUACUAUAUGGUCAUUUUAGGAUCAACUUCCAAUAAAUAGCACUGCAUCACAAACCA
This 1464-nucleotide long non-coding RNA is filed under the name Monodelphis domestica (gray short-tailed opossum). RNAcentral describes it as "lncRNA (ENSMODG00000040110.1)". Lineage: Eukaryota; Metazoa; Chordata; Mammalia; Didelphimorphia; Didelphidae. The record is from RNAcentral.